RNAcentral lists this long non-coding RNA (467 nucleotides) under Lotus japonicus. RNAcentral's name for it is "long non-coding RNA (LJAP_LNC001254)". Lineage: Eukaryota; Viridiplantae; Streptophyta; Magnoliopsida; Fabales; Fabaceae. The record is from RNAcentral.
CAGGGUUGAUUCCGGUUCCAGUGAUGGGGAUGGUGGCCAAGUGAACCAUGAACACUGCAAACCCAAUUGGAAGAGGUGCCAAAACCUGUAAAAGAAAAAAGAAAAAACAGAGUUACACAAGGAAAAAAAAAAUAGAGGAUGAGAAAUGAAGCACUAGAUUUUGCUUACAGGAACAUGGGAAUCUCUGGCGUUUCUCUUGGGAUCGGUGGCGGAGAAGACGGUGUAGACAAGGACAAAGGUGCCGAUAAUCUCAGCGCCCAAACCAGUUCCCUUGGAGUAGCCAUCAGCAAGCAUGUUUGCACCGCCAUGGUACCUGUUGUAGUAGCUUUUCUGAAAAGCCUUCACCAACCCAACACCGCUUAUGGCUCCCAAACACUGAGCCACCAUGUAGAACAAAGCUCUGACCAGUGAAACCUUCCUCGCCAGGAACAAACCGAACGUCACCGCCGGGUUUAUGUGACCCCCUG